UAGAGUUUGAUCCUGGCUCAGAUUGAACGCUGGCGGCAUGCCUUACACAUGCAAGUCGAACGGCAGCACGGGAGCAAUCCUGGUGGCGAGUGGCGAACGGGUGAGUAAUAUAUCGGAACGUGCCCAGUCGUGGGGGAUAACGCAGCGAAAGCUGUGCUAAUACCGCAUACGAUCUAUGGAUGAAAGCGGGGGAUCGCAAGACCUCGCGCGAUUGGAGCGGCCGAUAUCAGAUUAGCUAGUUGGUGGGGUAAAGGCCCACCAAGGGACGAUCUGUAGUGGUCUGAGAGGACGACCAGCCACCGGAACUGAGACACGGUCCAGACUCCUACGGGAGGCAGCAGUGGGGAAUUUUGGACAAUGGGCGCAAGCCUGAUCCAGCAAUGCCGCGUGCAGGAUGAAGGCCUUCGGGUUGUAAAGCACUUUUGUCCGGAAAGAAAUCCGUCGGGAUAAUACCCUGGCGGGAUGACGGUACCGGAAGAAUAAGCACCGGCUAACUACGUGCCAGCAGCCGCGGAAUUC
This 519-nucleotide ribosomal RNA is filed under the name uncultured Pseudorhodoferax sp. RNAcentral's name for it is "bacterial SSU rRNA". It matches the Rfam family "Bacterial small subunit ribosomal RNA", at positions 1 to 525 of the family's 1533-position model. Lineage: Bacteria; Pseudomonadati; Pseudomonadota; Betaproteobacteria; Burkholderiales; Comamonadaceae. The record is from RNAcentral.